UUGGAGGGCAAGUCUGGUGCCAGCAGCCGCGGUAAUUCCAGCUCCAAUAGCGUAUAUUAAAGUUGUUGCAGUUAAAAAGCUCGUAGUUGAAUUUCGGGAUCAAUUUAUUGGUCGUGCUAUUGUACGUACUGGUAUUAUUGAUUCCUACCUUCUGACGAACCAUGAUGUCAUUAAUUUGGUGUCAUGGGGAAUCAGGACUGUUACUUUGAAAAAAUUAGAGUGUUUAAAGCAGGCUCACGCUUGAAUACAUUAGCAUGGAAUAACGAAAUAGGACGUUUGAUUCUAUUUUGUUGGUUUCUAGGAUCGACGUAAUGAUUAAUAGGGGUAGUUGGGGGCAUUAGUAUUCAAUUGUCAGAGGUGAAAUUCUUGGAUUUAUUGAAGACUAACUACUGCGAAAGCAUUUGCCAAGGAUGUUUUCAUUAAUCAAGAACGAAAGUUAGGGGAUCGAAGACGAUCAGAUACCGUCGUAGCCUUAACCAUAAACUAUGCCGACUAGGGAUCGGAUGAUGUUAAUUUUUUAAUGACUCAUUCGGCGCCUUACGGGAAACCAAAGUGUUUGGGUUC
RNAcentral lists this ribosomal RNA (564 nucleotides) under uncultured Glomeromycotina. RNAcentral describes it as "SSU rRNA". It matches the Rfam family "Eukaryotic small subunit ribosomal RNA", at positions 548 to 1114 of the family's 1831-position model. The record is from RNAcentral. Lineage: Eukaryota; Fungi; Glomeromycota.